AACGAACGCUGGCGGCAGGCCUAACACAUGCAAGUCGAGCGCGCCCUUCGGGGUGAGCGGCGGAUGGGUGGGUAACGCGUGGGAACGUGCCCUUCUCUGCGGAAUAGCCUCGGGAAACUGAGAGUAAUACCACAUACGCCCUCUGGGGGAAAGAUUUAUCGGAGAAGGAGCGGCCCGCGUUGGCUUAGGUAGUUGGUGGGGUAAUGGCUCACCAAGCCGACGAUCCAUAGCUGGUUUGAGAGGAUGAUCAGCCACACUGGGACUGAGACACGGCCCAGACUCCUACGGGAGGCAGCAGUGGGGAAUCUUAGACAAUGGGGGCAACCCUGAUCUAGCCAUGCCGUGUGAGUGAUGAAGGCCUUAGGGUUGUAAAGCUCUCUCAGCUGGGAAGAUAAUGACGGUACCAGCAGAAGAAGCCCCGGCUAACUCCGUGCCAGCAGCCGCGGUAA
RNAcentral lists this ribosomal RNA (449 nucleotides) under uncultured bacterium. Its description in RNAcentral is "partial 16S ribosomal RNA". It matches the Rfam family "Bacterial small subunit ribosomal RNA", at positions 29 to 523 of the family's 1533-position model. The record is from RNAcentral.